AUGGCCUGGACACUUCUCCUGCUCCCUCUCCUCACUCUCUGCACAGGUUCUGUGGCCCCUUCUGAGCUGACUCAGUUAACUGCGGUGUCUGUGGCCUUGGCACAGACAGCCAGGGUCACCUGCCAGGGAGAGAGACCAAAAAGUGUCUAUGCUGGCUGGUACCAGCAGAAGCCAGGCCAGGCCCCUGUAUGGGUCAUCUAUAGUAAAAACAAUUGGACCACAGGCACACCUGAACAAUUCUCUGCCUCUGACUCAGGGGACACAGCCACCCUGACCAUCAGUGGGGUCCAGUUUGAGGACGAGACUGACUAUUACUGUAACAGUUCCACCUCCACAGGGAUCCCUCAUGUUGUCCUUUAA
Equus quagga is the source of this 360-nucleotide non-coding RNA. Lineage: Eukaryota; Metazoa; Chordata; Mammalia; Perissodactyla; Equidae. The record is from the annotation of a RefSeq genome assembly.